CGGUCUGAUGACGCACCGUCCUCGUAAGACGGUGCAGGGACACGGUGUGAGGAGUCUCCCGUCAAACCCUGACACGAUUAACCGGAUUAAAAAUAGUUUUUUCAAGGAGUUUUCCAACUCUUCUGUGCGUGAAAUGAUUAAAAACGGCCACCACGCUGCCGACGAGCAGCGGGGCGGAGGCGACUGCAAGCCGGCGAGGUCACACUGCAGCCCGGAGAAAAGGAAGCGACAGGUCCGGUUGUGGUGCGACGGCUGUUACGACAUGGUCCACUACGGUCAUUCCAAUCAGCUGCGGCAAGCAAAAGGCAUGGGAGAUUACCUCAUUGUUGGAGUGCAUACCGAUGCGGAAAUUUCCAAGCACAAAGGUCCUCCAGUGUUCACUCAGGAAGAACGCUACAAGAUGGUGGGUGCUAUCAAGUGGGUGGAUGAGAUUGUGGAAGGAGCUCCCUACGUCACCACACUGGAGACUUUGGACAAGUUCAACUGUGACUUCUGCGUACAUGGUGAUGACAUCACACUGACAGUGGAUGGUAAGGACACGUACGAAGAGGUGAAGCGAAUGGGACGCUAUCGGGAAUGUAAGCGCACUCAGGGAGUCUCCACCACAGACCUUGUAGGACGUAUGCUCCUCAUGACCAAGUCACAUCACAGCAACAUGGACAACCCAGAUUACCAGCAGUAUACAGACAAUUUUGGCAAGGGUCCUAAAGGACACAGUCCAUGGACUGGCGUGUCUCAGUUCUUGCAGACGUCCCAGAAAAUCAUCCAGUUCGCCUCAGGAAAGGAGCCUCAGCCUGGAGACACCAUCAUCUAUGUCGCCGGGGCAUUUGACCUCUUUCACAUCGGCCAUGUUGACUUUCUAUCAAUGGUCUACAAGUUGGCAGAGAGACCAUACGUCAUUGUUGGUCUGCACUUCGAUCAGGAGGUCAACCGCUACAAGGGGAAGAACUACCCAAUCAUGAACGUUCAUGAGAGGACUUUGAGCGUCUUGGCCUGUCGGUAUGUGUCAGAAGUAGUGAUUGGUGCUCCUUAUGCUGUGACCAAAGACCUGCUGGAUCAUUUCAAGGUGGACAUGGUUUGUCAUGGCAUGACUAAAGUGUUUCCUGACAAAGAUGGAUCAGAGCCUUAUGCUGAGCCCAGGAAGAGAAGAAUAUUCAAGAGCAUUGAUAGCGGGAACAAUCUCACUACUGAUGACAUUGUGCAGAGGAUCAUUGCAAACAGGUUGCAGUUUGAAGCCAGGAACCAGAAGAAGGAGGCCAAGGAGAUGGCAGUGAUGGAGGCCAUGAAGAAGAGAGAAGAAUCUGCUGACUAGACAAAUGAGGAACACAUUCUACAUAUUCUAGGUCCGAGUGUAGUGGGUGGGAGGUGUUGUCCAUAAUGGCUAGAAGUUUUGCUAGACUUCUCCUCUCUGACACCACCGCCAGAGAGUCUUGCUCCACUCCCACCACGUUACUGGCCUUCUCAACCAACUUGUCCAGUCUGUCUGCGUCCCUUGCUCUCAGCCCGCUGCCCCAGCAGGCCACGGCGUACAAGAAGGCGCCCGCCACCACCGACUCGUAGAACAUCUUCAACAUCUUUGUACAGACGUUGAAGGAUCCUAGCCUCCUGAGGAAGUAGAGGUGGCUCUGUCCCUUCUUGUAGAGUGCCUCAGCGUGUUAGAGUAAUUCCGUCAGUAAUUCAAUUACUUUUUUUGGGUAAAAUUAACGGGUAACUAACAUUACUUUUUAAAAGUAAUUUUCAGAACAUUGCAUCUGAAAAAACUGCAAAAAGGGGGGAAAAAAAUGCAAAUUUGAUGUAUGUUUGACAACUUGUUCCACUUACGUGUCUGUGUAACGGAGAUAAAAAUGCACUUUAUUAAUAUUUCGGGAUGUUUUUAUUUUGUUAUUGAAAUAUUGUGUUUGUGUGAAUUUUAUCUCAAAAAAGUUAUUUAUUUGUGUUGAUUGACUGUUAUUUUAUUUGACUCCUUCCUGUCAUGGCAUACCGUAGUGAUGGGUCCGGCAACACCGAUGCAUCGGCGCAUGCGUCGAGCUCAUAGAGCAAAACCCUGUGUCGGUGAGCGUACCGCUUUUAGAAAGUCACGUGACCGAUCAUGAGCUGUUUCGGCCACGUGACCAAUACGCGAACUGUGUCACACUGACGCCUCCUCUGUGCCCUGUGAGCGGGUCUUUUCUACAGCCGGAGAAAUAAUAACUAAGAAGAGAAAUCGGCUAAAAUUUAAUACGUUGGAAAAACUGUUUUUUUUUAAAUAAAAAUAUGUAAAAAAAAAAUUUUUAAAUUCCCAGUCUACAGGCAUCCUCAUCCACAACACGUUCUCUUAGAUUUACAUGUUCACAUUAUUUAUUGACUGUAUCUAAAAAAUAUAAAAAUAUAUUUUUAUCUAAAGGACGAUAUGAAAUAAUCCUGAAUGAAAUACAAAGACUUUGUUUAUAUUAUUGUAUAUACUAGGUCAGGGGUGGGCAACCCGCGGCUCUAGAGCCGCAUGCGGCUCUUUAGCGCCGCCCUAGUGGCUCUCUGGAGCUUUUUCAGAAAUGUAUGAAAAAUGGAAAAAGAUGAGGGGGAAAAAAAUCUAUUUUUUGUUUUAAUAUGGUUUCUGUAGGAGGACAAACAUGACACAAACCUCCCUAAUUGUUACAAAGCACACUGUUUGUAUUAAACAUGCUUCACUGAUUCGAGUAUUUGGCGAGUGCUGUUUUGUCCUACUAAUUUUGGCAGUCCUUGAACUCACCGUAGUUUGUUUACAUGUAUAACUUUCUCCGACUUUCGAGGAUGUGUUUUAUGCCACUUCUUUUUCUGUCUCAUUUUGUCCACCAAAUUUUUAAGGUUGUGCAUGAAAGGUGAGUUUUGUUGAUGUUAUUGACUUGUUGGAGUGCUAAUCAGACAUAUUUGGUCACUGCAUGACUGCAAGCUAAUCGAUGCUAACAUGCUAUUUAGGCUAGCUAUAUGUACAUAUUGCAUCAUAAUGCCUCAUUUGUAGCUAUAUUUGAGGUCAUUUAGUUUCCUUUAAGUCCUCUUAAUUCAAUUUAUAUCUCAUGACACACUAUCUGUAUGUAAUAUGGCUUUUAAUUUUUUGCGGCUCCAGACAGAUUUUUUUGUUGUAUUUUUGGUCCAAUAUGGCUCUUUCAACAUUUUGGGUUGCCAACCCCUGUACUGGGUCAUAAAAUCAGUGUCAGUUGCCUGUAGGGAUUUUUAAUGUCCAUCAGAUGUCAGUAUUUAGUAACACAGUGUCGACACAGUAUCAAUACAGUUUUGCAAUGUGUCUAAACCAGUGGUUCUCAAACUUUUUUUGUCAUCCCCCACUUUGGACAAGGGGAGUUUUCAAGCCCCACCUGCCCCCAUCACCCCAACAGAGCGCUAAUGCCAAGCUUUAACAUUUUCAAAUUUAUUGAACAUCAAGUUGUAUACAUUCAAACUCAAUAACAUAAAAUAACAUCAAGUUCAAUAAUAAAUAAAAUAACUGUGCAGCUGUGGUAUAACUUGCAUCAAGUUCAAUAAUAAAUAAAAUAACUUCCAUCAAGUUCAAUAAUAAAUAAAACAAAAGUGUUAUAACUUGCAUCAAGUUCAAUAAUAAAUAAAAAAAAGUGUUAUAACUUGCAUCACGUUCAAUAAUAAAUAAAAAAAACUGUUAUAACUUGCAUCAAGUUCAAUAAUACAUCAAAAAAAGUGUUAUAACUUGCAUCACGUUUAAUAAUAAAUCAAAAAAAGUGUUACAACUUGCAUCAAGUUCAAUAAUAAAUCAAAUAAAAGUGUUAUAACUUGCAUCAAGUUCAAUAAUAAAUCAAAAAAAGUGUUAUAACUUGCAUCACGUUUAAUAAUAAAUCAAAAAAAGUGUUACAACUUGCAUCAAGUUCAAUAAUAAAUCAAAUAAAAGUGUUAUAACUUGCAUCAAGUUCAAUAAUAAAUAAAAAAAAGUGUUAUAACUUGCAUCAAGUUCAAUAAUAAAUCAAAAAAAGUGUUAUAACUUGCAUCAAGUUCAAAAAUAAAUCAAAAAAAGUGUUAUAACUUGCAUCACGUUCAAUAAUAAAUCAAAAAAAGUGUUAUAACUUGCAUCAAGUUCAAUAAUAAAUCUAAUAACUUGCAUCAAGUUCAAUAAUAAAUCAAAAAAAGGGUUAUAACUUGCAUCAAGUUCAAUAAUAAAUAAAACACAAGUGUUAUAACUUGCAUCAAGUUCAAUAAUAAAUACAUACAAGUGUUAUAACUUGCAUCAAGUUCAAUAAUAAAUCAAAUAACUUGCAUCAAGUUCAAUAAUAAAUAAAAUAAAAGUGCCACUUUGCAAUCUUUGCCAAAAAAAAAAGGAGGAGCUAUGCAUUUGGCAAGACACGGCAAGUGACAGCACUUUGCCCCAGGAGAGCCACCUUGCUUCACUGUGAAACAGCACGGCUGUAUGAUCAGCUCCCAUUUCCUCACACAGUGCAGAGAACAGUCGCGCUUUCAGUGGUCGUGUUUUGAUCAAAUUGACCGCGCUCACAACAUCUGUUAAAACCUCAUUGAGUUCGGGGCUGAGCUGCCUUGACGCGAGUGCUUCCCGGUGAAUGACACAGUGUGUGCCCGUCACAUUUUUGUUUCUCUGCAGGCGCUGGCUCGACGACCUUUGAGGUGUGAGUCACAAAUGUAUAUAUUUGUGUAAUUGUGGUCCACACAUUAGCCUGCUACCCAUCCGCGCGAAAGUUUGUUCCGCUUAGCCCCGCCCCCAUUAGUUACUGUUGCUAUGUCUGUCAAACUUUCGCUUCUACUGAGAAAUUUAAAGCCUACAGUAAAAAUAAGUACCGGUAAUUUCCAUUUAUUUAUAUAGCGGAUUUCACAGACAGAAUCACAAAGUGAUUUACAGUGUGUAUAGAAAAUGAAAGCAUAGUAAAAAAAAAAAAAUCUAAGAAUAUAAUAAUUAAAAAAUUUUUUUAAAGUGAAAUUUCCUCCCGUUCCUCGCGCCCCACCUGUCAUGUCUAUAUUCCCCACCAGUGGGGCGCGCCCCACACUUUGAGAAACGCUGGUCUAAACGCUUCAUGACGCCUCAUCAACCCAUCACUAGCAUACCGUCAGGCUUCCGUAGUUUCCUCUAGCUUCUGUAGCUCCUCCCCUUCCUCCUCACUUCCUGUUUGCGAUGCUGAAGUGACUUGUGUCCAAAUUGGUGUCGUGCUGCGUUUUCUAACAAAAGCGAACGGUUUAUUUUUGUAAUUCUUGCCGUAUAUUGUUUACUUUUUAUGUACCCUUAAGAUAUUUUUGUGUUAUUUUAACAGCAAUUUUGAGCGCUACAAGCGUUGUGCUUGAGUGACAGUGUUGGCGCUAUUUGUUUGAAGCCGUCCUCUUUCAUGUCACGUGACCAUUACGCGGCCUGCGUCCUGUUGGUAAAAAGUAUGUUUUCUAUGUGUAUAAAAAGUAUGUUUUCUAUGUGUAUAAAAAGUAUGUUUUCUAUGUGUAGGGAGCAGGGCGGUACAAGGAGUCACAAAGAAGGAGUUUAUGUCAGUACGUUGCAGAGGAUGCAAGCACAGCCAUUUUUUCAGAAUUCAACGGGGUAUUUUUCCAUCUUCAAUCUUUCCAGUCGUAUGUACUAGGAGGUCCAUGGAGAGCUGAAGCAAAGUCAGUUAUCAAUAAUCCGAGGACCUUCACCCACUGACUGAGUCUCGUUAUCUGCUUCUUCAUCUUCAUUGUCUCCAGAAAGUGCAUUUUCACAUGGAACUUAUGGCAGGUGAAAUCAUGCCACACGUUCAUAUAUUAUGCAGUUGAUCCUUGUUGCUAAAAUGUAAUCCCGGGAUAUUUUUAUCUACUUUAAAGCACUUAGGCAGGGUCCUACUUUCAAUAGGACAUGGAAGAUUUAAUCAUGUGACUAUUUCAUUUGCAUUUCACCUCACACAGAAGAAUUGAUUUCUAUUUAGAUAGCGCUUUUUUCCCGAGAAAAUCAAAGCGCUUUGUAUAGUGAAACCCAUUAUCUACAUUUAAACUAGUGGGUGGGACGGGGCGCAGGGUGUGAAGCAGGCGUGGCCACACUUUUUCUGCAAGCGAGCUACUUUUCAAUUGACCAAGUGGAGGGCAUCUACGUCAUUCAUUAAUAUUUAUUUAUUUAUGAAAGAGACAUUUUUGUUAACAAGUUAAAGGGGAACAUUAUCACCAGACCUAUGUAAGCGUCAAUAUAUACCUUGAUGUUGCAGAAAAAAAACCAUAUAUUUUUUUAACCGAUUUCCGAACUCUUAAAUGGGUGAAUUUUGGCGAAUUAAACGCCUUUCUAAUAUUCGCUCUCGGACGUUGUGACGUCACAUCAAGAAGCAAUCCGCCAUUUUCUCAAACACCGGGUCAAAACAGCUCUGUUAUUUUCCGUUUUUUCGACUGUUUUCCGUACCUUGGAGACAUCAUGCCUCGUCGGUGUGUUGUCGGAGGGUGUAACAACACGAACAGGGACGGAUUCAAGUUGCACCAGUGGCCCAAAGAUGCGAAAGUGGCAAGAAAUUGGACGUUUGUUCCGCACACUUUACCGACGAAAGCUAUGCUACGACAGAGAUGGCAAGAAUGUGUGGAUAUCCUGCGACACUCAAAGCAGAUGCAUUUCCAACUGGACUGGACAGAUCAGCUUUCAGGAAAAGAGAGCGGAUGACGGUAUGUCUACAGAAUAUAUUAAUUGAUGAAAACUGUGUGGAUAUCCUGCGACACUCAAAGCAGAUGCAUUUCCAACGAUAAAGUCAAAGAAAUCUGCCGCCAGACCCCCAUUGAAUCUGCCGGAGUGUGUGAGCAAUUCAGGGACAAAGGACCUCGCUAGCACGGCAAGCAAUGGCGGCAGUGUGUUCCUGCAGACGAGCGAGCUAUCGACCCUAGCUUCCCUGGCCUGCUGACAUCAACUCCAAAACUGGACAGAUCAGCUUUCACGAAAAGAGCGCGGAUGAGGGUAUGUCUACAGAAUAUAUUAAUUGAUGAAAAUUGGGCUGUCUGCACUCUCAAAGUGCAUGUUGUUGCCAAAUGUAUUUCAUAUGCUGUAAACCUAGUUCAUAGUUGUUAGUUUCCUUUAAUGCCAAACAAACACAUACCAAUCGUUGGUUAGAAGGCGAUCGCCGAAUUCGUCCUCGCUUUCUCUCGUGUCGCUGGCUGUCGUGUCGUUUUCGUCGGUUUCGCUUGGUUCAAACCGAUAUGGCUCAAUAGCUUCAGUUUCUUCUUCAAUUUCGUUUUCGCUACCUGCCUCCACACUACAACCAUCCAUUUCAAUACAUUCGUAAUCUGUUGAAUCGCUUAAGCCGCUGAAAUCCGAGUCUGAAUCCGAGCUAAUGUCGCUAUAGCUUGCUGUUCUUUCCGCCAUGUUUGUUUGUGUUGGCUUCACUAUGUGGAUGGGUGGUUAAAAUCAGGCACUUUGAAGCUUUUUUUAGGGAUAUUGCGUGAUGGGUAAAAUUUUGAAAAAAACUUCGAAAAAUAUAAUAAGCCACUGGGAACUGAUUUUUAAUGGUUUUAACAAUUCUGAAAUUGUGAUAAUGUUUCCCUUUAAAGGUGUUUAAUGAUAAUACAGGCAUGUUUAACAUAUAGAUUCCUUUCUUUCAUGAAGACAAGAAUAUAAGUUGGUGUAUUACCUGCUUCUGAUGACUUGGAAUCAGACAGUAGUGAUGAUAACGUCUACAUUUUCAUAUGGAGGAGAAAAAAGUCAUUUCUGUCCAAUACCACAUGAAAGUGGUUGGUUUUUGGCAUCUUAUUUGUCCAGCUUCCAUACUCCUUUUAUACACUUUACAAGAAAUACAUUGGCGGAAAACUCCGUAGCUUGCUAGCUUUCUGAGACUCUUAUUUUGUUAGCGCAGGCAGGAUGAAGUAGCGCUUUUAUUGUGAAGAUAGGAACUGAGCAGUCGGUCUUUAGAGUUUUGACAGCAGGUACUGAGCGAGUCUGUUGAAAUAAAAAGUGUUUCCCGUGUUGUAUA
This is a non-coding RNA of Nerophis lumbriciformis (worm pipefish), 7877 nucleotides long. The record is from RefSeq and is a predicted model, not a curated record. NCBI's taxonomy places the organism in Eukaryota, Metazoa, Chordata, Actinopteri, Syngnathiformes, Syngnathidae.